RNAcentral lists this ribosomal RNA (425 nucleotides) under uncultured bacterium. RNAcentral describes it as "bacterial SSU rRNA". It matches the Rfam family "Bacterial small subunit ribosomal RNA", at positions 358 to 773 of the family's 1533-position model. The record is from RNAcentral.
GGAAUAUUGCGCAAUGGGCGAAAGCCUGACGCAGCGACGCCGCGUGGGGGAGGAAGGCCCCAGGGUUGUAAACCCCUGUCAGGUGGGACGAACCCCGGUACGUCGAACAGGCGUACCGCCUGCCGGUACCACCAGAGGAAGCUCCGGCUAACCCCGUGCCAGCAGCCGCGGUAAUACGGAGGGAGCAAGCGUUGUUCGGAAUUACUGGGCGUAAAGGGCGCGUAGGCGGCCUGGUGAGUCGCAUGUGAAAUGCCGGGGCUCAACCCCGAGCACUGCAUGCGAUACUGCCUGGCUGGAGAGAGGUAGGGGCGAGCGGAAUUCCCGGUGUAGCGGUGGAAUGCGUAGAUAUCGGGAAGAACACCUGUGGCGAAGGCGGCUCGCUGGACCUUUUCUGACGCUGAAGCGCGAAAGCGUGGGGAGCAAAC